Molecule: ribosomal RNA, 558 nt
Filed under: uncultured Alphaproteobacteria bacterium
Lineage: Bacteria; Pseudomonadati; Pseudomonadota; Alphaproteobacteria
Also listed under: 1 other name
Description: bacterial SSU rRNA
Rfam family: Bacterial small subunit ribosomal RNA
Source: RNAcentral
GUGCCAGCCGCCGCGGUAAUACAUAGGGGGCAAGCGUUAUCCGGAAUUAUUGGGCGUAAAGGGUGCGUAGGUGGCCAUUUAAGUCUUUGGUGUAAGUGCAGUGCUCAACGCUGUGAUGCUAAAGAGACUGGGUGGCUUGAGUGUGGUAGAGGCAAGUGGAAUUCCAUGUGUAGCGGUAAAAUGCGUAAAUAUAUGGAGGAACACCAGUGGCGAAGGCGGCUUGCUGGGCCAUAACUGACACUGAGGCACGAAAGCGUGGGGAGCAAACAGGAUUAGAUACCCUGGUAGUCCACGCCGUAAACGAUGAGUACUAAGUGUUGGAGAAAUUCAGUGCUGUAGUUAACGCAAUAAGUACUCCGCCUGAGUAGUACGUACGCAAGUAUGAAACUCAAAGGAAUUGACGGGACCCCGCACAAGCGGUGGAUCAUGUUGUUUAAUUCGAUGAUACGCGAAGAACCUUACCAGGUCUUGACAUCCCUUGCAAAGCUCUAGAGAUAGAGUGGAGGUUAUCAAGGAGACAGGUGGUGCAUGGUUGUCGUCAGCUCGUGUCGUGAGAUG